Molecule: small nuclear RNA, 22 nt
Filed under: Arabidopsis thaliana (thale cress)
Lineage: Eukaryota; Viridiplantae; Streptophyta; Magnoliopsida; Brassicales; Brassicaceae
Description: snRNA_13310
Source: RNAcentral
UUUAUCCGUAGCUAAGUCUUGU